CACGUAAGGGGCAAGCGUUGUUCGGAAUUAUUGGGCGUAAAGGGCAUGUAGGCGGUUUCGUAAGCCUGGUGUGAAAGGCUGCAGCUUAACUGUAGCAUUGCAUUGGGUACUGCGAGACUUGAAUCACGGAGGGGAAACUAGAAUUCCAGGUGUAGGGGUGGAAUCUGUAGAUAUCUGGAAGAAUACCGGUGGCGAAGGCGGGUUUCUGGCCGCUGAUUGACGCUGAGGUGCGAAAGUGCGGGGAGCAAACAGGAUUAGAUACCCUGGUAGUCCGCACCGUAAACGAUGUACACUAGGUGUAGGGGCAUGAGUCUCUGUGCCAAAGCUAACGUGAUAAGUGUACCGCCUGGGAAGUAUGCCCGCAAGGGUGAA
Molecule: ribosomal RNA, 372 nt
Filed under: uncultured bacterium
Lineage: Bacteria
Description: bacterial SSU rRNA
Rfam family: Bacterial small subunit ribosomal RNA
Source: RNAcentral